This 515-nucleotide long non-coding RNA is filed under the name Sorghum bicolor (sorghum). RNAcentral describes it as "long non-coding RNA (SBIC_LNC009011)". Lineage: Eukaryota; Viridiplantae; Streptophyta; Magnoliopsida; Poales; Poaceae. The record is from RNAcentral.
AAAAAGCAAAAAUCCUAGGCCACCAUGGAAGCAGGAGUUAGCCUCACAACAGCAACAAAAGUUUGUAUCGCACGAAGCUUCGUAAUACUAGAACUGCGGCGUUGUGAUGAAUAUCGACCACAAAGUCGUGUACAGCCACAACAGAAACAAUGGAAGCCAGACUCAGAGGUCUCUGAAGGGUAUCGCACGAAGUCUCGUAACAUCCCUUCAAAACCUCCGACUUAGACAGCCGAAGGUUCUCCUCGACAACACUCCACGGGAGUCGAGCAAAGGAAAAAAAUAGCACAAUUCAGCGAAGGAUCCUUCGCGCCAAUAAAGUCGAAGGUUCUAAGGCCAAGAAGCAACGAUCCUCCGCGCAAGAAAAAAUCAAGAACUCCUUCGCAACAACAAGCAUCAAGAACAAGCAAGCCACAGCAACACAAAGAUCCUUAGGAUCAACACCACCGUAACGUUGCGAUAUAUAAAUGCUGUAGCACGAAGGUUGUAAUAAAAAUGAGAUCGAAGGUUGUAGCAAA